GCAGUAACAUCAGCAGUAAAAAUACCAGAAUGAUAAAUCCACAGGGGGAAACAGACACCCCCACCACCAUCAUGUGAAUAAUAUUGUUCUGAUCCUGUACAAAUGACUACACUGUGCUGUUAUCACUGGAUCAUGUAGUCCACUCUCCUCUGCCUAUCUACGCUGAUCUGACCUGUAAUUGGCCUGGUGGUGUCCCCUGAUGGUCUCCAAGUUUAGGAACAAGCUGCCAGUCUCAGCCGCCCAGGGGAAAUGCUGGGACUGAACAUGGAGAUCUGUGGAUAGAGAUCUGGCAGUUACACAGGGAUGGGUGUGACCGCCAGCCCAGAACACAGGGCUGAAAGGUCAGGAGAGCAGCUCUGUCAACACCGUUACACUGCCCAUCAUUAGGGGGAUUGGAUUUUCUUGGGACCAGUGCUUUGUGUUAAUCUGUGGCCAAGAUAAUGAGUCAUAAAGCUGCGCAGAUACAUUUAUAGAGUGAAACGUGUCAGAUGAAAGUCAAUGAUUGGCACUCACAAACAAUGCCGCACAAGGACUGAAAGGUGUGUAGACUCUAGGCCUGCAAAUGUAAUCCCAAUCAUAACGAAACUGCUGUUUGAAUUUGAGACUGAUUGGACUUAAGCUUCAUCAUAAUCUCCUCCACAAACAGUAAAAUCUCCUGUCUUA
Periophthalmus magnuspinnatus is the source of this 663-nucleotide long non-coding RNA. RefSeq lists it as uncharacterized. Lineage: Eukaryota; Metazoa; Chordata; Actinopteri; Gobiiformes; Gobiidae. The transcript has 3 exons. The record is from RefSeq and is a predicted model, not a curated record.